AUUUUUGGAUAAUCGCAUGGUAGAGAAUGGUUAAACAGCAUCUAUCAUGAGGAAAGUCCAUGCUAGCACCAGCUGUGAUGCUGGUAGUGUUUGUGCUAGGCGAACAAAUAAGCCUAGGGACGUUUUUGACGUUACGGCGGUCAAAAUAGCUACGUCUUUGGAUAUGCUAGAGUAGACCUGAAAGUGCCACAGUGACGAAGUUUUUAUGGAAACGUAAAAAAUGGAACGCGGUAAACCCCUCAAGCUAGCAACCCAAACUUUGGUCGGGGCAUGGGAUGGAUGGAAACGAACAAAAAUCCUGACUGCAAUUGCAGUAGACAGAUGAUUAUCGAAGGUGGUAGGACCUAGUAUCACCGGAACAAAACAUGGCUUAUAGAA
RNAcentral lists this RNase P RNA (378 nucleotides) under Streptococcus suis. RNAcentral describes it as "RNase P RNA component class B". It matches the Rfam family "Bacterial RNase P class B". Rfam says of the family: Ribonuclease P (RNase P) is a ubiquitous endoribonuclease, found in archaea, bacteria and eukarya as well as chloroplasts and mitochondria. Its best characterised activity is the generation of mature 5'-ends of tRNAs by cleaving the 5'-leader elements of precursor-tRNAs. Lineage: Bacteria; Bacillati; Bacillota; Bacilli; Lactobacillales; Streptococcaceae. The record is from RNAcentral.